RNAcentral lists this ribosomal RNA (724 nucleotides) under uncultured Fusobacterium sp. Its description in RNAcentral is "bacterial SSU rRNA". It matches the Rfam family "Bacterial small subunit ribosomal RNA", at positions 28 to 776 of the family's 1533-position model. The record is from RNAcentral. Lineage: Bacteria; Fusobacteriati; Fusobacteriota; Fusobacteriia; Fusobacteriales; Fusobacteriaceae.
GAUGAACGCUGACAGAAUGCUUAACACAUGCAAGUCGACUCGAGUCUUUGGACUUGGGUGGCGGACGGGUGAGUAACGCGUAAAGAACUUGCCUCAUAGUCUGGGACAACAUUUGGAAACGGAUGCUAAUACCGGAUAUUAUGCUUUCUUCGCAUGGAGGAAGUAUGAAAGCUAUAUGCGCUAUGAGAGAGCUUUGCGUCCCAUUAGCUAGUUGGUGAGGUAACGGCCCACCAAGGCGAUGAUGGGUAGCCGGCCUGAGAGGGUGAACGGCCACAAGGGGACUGAGACACGGCCCUUACUCCUACGGGAGGCAGCAGUGGGGAAUAUUGGACAAUGGACCAAAAGUCUGAUCCAGCAAUUCUGUGUGCACGAUGACGUUUUUCGGAAUGUAAAGUGCUUUCAGUCGGGAAGAAGCAAGUGACGGUACCGACAGAAGAAGCGACGGCUAAAUACGUGCCAGCAGCCGCGGUAAUACGUAUGUCGCAAGCGUUAUCCGGAUUUAUUGGGCGUAAAGCGCGUCUAGGCGGCAAGGAAAGUCUGAUGUGAAAAUGCGGGGCUCAACUCCGUAUUGCGUUGGAAACUGCCUUACUAGAGUACUGGAGAGGUAGGCGGAACUACAAGUGUAGAGGUGAAAUUCGUAGAUAUUUGUAGGAAUGCCGAUGGGGAAGCCAGCCUACUGGACAGAUACUGACGCUAAAGCGCGAAAGCGUGGGUAGCAAACAGG